AGUGAACGCUGGCGGCAGGCCUAACACAUGCAAGUCGAGCGGCAGCGCAGCAGUAGCAAUACUGUGGGCGGCGAGCGGCGGACGGGUGAGGAAUACAUCGGAAUCUACCCAGUCGUGGGGGAUAACGUAGGGAAACUUACGCUAAUACCGCAUACGACCUGAGGGUGAAAGCAGGGGACCGCAAGGCCUUGCGCGAUUGAAUGAGCCGAUGUCGGAUUAGCUAGUUGGUGAGGUAAAGGCUCACCAAGGCGACGAUCCGUAGCUGGUCUGAGAGGAUGAUCAGCCACACUGGAACUGAGACACGGUCCAGACUCUUACGGGGAGGCAGCAGUGGGGAAACUAUUGGACAAUGGGCGCAAGCCUGAUCCAGCCAUGCCGCGUGUGUGAAGAAGGCCUCGGUUG
RNAcentral lists this ribosomal RNA (402 nucleotides) under uncultured bacterium. RNAcentral's name for it is "bacterial SSU rRNA". It matches the Rfam family "Bacterial small subunit ribosomal RNA", at positions 29 to 425 of the family's 1533-position model. The record is from RNAcentral.